GUGGGGAAUCUUGCGCAAUGGGCGAAAGCCUGACGCAGCCAUGCCGCGUGAAUGAUGAAGGUCUUAGGAUUGUAAAAUUCUUUCACCGGGGACGAUAAUGACGGUACCCGGAGAAGAAGCUCCGGCUAACUUCGUGCCAGCAGCCGCGGUAAUACGAGGGGGCUAGCGUUGCUCGGAAUUACUGGGCGUAAAGGGCGCGUAGGUGGACAGCUUAGUCAGAGGUGAAAGCCCAGGGCUCAACCUUGGAAUUGCCUUUGAUACUGGCUGUCUGGAGUUUGGGAGAGGUGAGUGGAACUCCGAGUGUAGAGGUGAAAUUCGUAGAUAUUCGGAAGAACACCAGUGGCGAAGGCGACUCACUGGCCCAAUACUGACGCUGAGGCGCGAAAGCGUGGGGAGCAAACAGGAUUAGAAACCCCGGUAGUCC
This 424-nucleotide ribosomal RNA is filed under the name uncultured bacterium. RNAcentral describes it as "partial 16S ribosomal RNA". It matches the Rfam family "Bacterial small subunit ribosomal RNA", at positions 354 to 796 of the family's 1533-position model. The record is from RNAcentral.